Molecule: ribosomal RNA, 206 nt
Filed under: uncultured bacterium
Lineage: Bacteria
Description: partial 16S ribosomal RNA
Rfam family: Bacterial small subunit ribosomal RNA
Source: RNAcentral
CGUGUAGGCGGUCUAAUAAGUCAGAUGUUAAAGGUCCCGGCUCAACCGGGAGGGUCAUUUGAAACUGUUAGGCUUGAGUGCGAGAGAGGGUAGUGGAAUUCCCAGUGUAGCGGUGAAAUGCGUAGAUAUUGGGAAGAACACCAGUAGCGAAGGCGGCUACCUGGCUCGCAACUGACGCUAAGGCGCGAAAGCGUGGGGAGCAAACA